RNAcentral lists this ribosomal RNA (508 nucleotides) under uncultured actinomycete. RNAcentral's name for it is "bacterial SSU rRNA". It matches the Rfam family "Bacterial small subunit ribosomal RNA", at positions 1 to 526 of the family's 1533-position model. Lineage: Bacteria; Bacillati; Actinomycetota; Actinomycetes; Actinomycetales. The record is from RNAcentral.
UAGAGUUUGAUCAUGGCUCAGGACGAACGCUGGCGGCGCGCUUAACACAUGCAAGUCGAGCGAGAACCGGGCCCUCGGGCCCGGGGAAAGCGGCGAACGGGUGAGUAACACGUGGGUAAUCUGCCCUCGGCACCGGGAUAGCCCGGGGAAACUCGGAUUAAUACCGGAUUGCCUCCGGAGCCUUCGGGCGCCGGAGAAAAGGAGGCUUCGGCUUCCGGCUGAGGAUGAGCCCGCGGCGGAUUAGCUUGUUGGCGGGGUAACGGCCCACCAAGGCGACGAUCCGUAGCUGGUCUGAGAGGAUGAUCAGCCACACUGGGACUGAGACACGGCCCAGACUCCUACGGGAGGCAGCAGUGGGGAAUAUUGGACAAUGGGCGCAAGCCUGAUCCAGCCAUGCCGCGUGGGUGAUGAAGGCCCUAGGGUUGUAAAGCCCUUUCGGCGGGGAAGAUAAUGACGGUACCCGCAGAAGAAGCCCCGGCUAACUCCGUGCCAGCAGCCGCGGUAAUUC